Molecule: long non-coding RNA, 677 nt
Organism: Sphaerodactylus townsendi
Lineage: Eukaryota; Metazoa; Chordata; Lepidosauria; Squamata; Sphaerodactylidae
Exons: 4
Source: RefSeq, a predicted model, not a curated record
UUUUUUUUUCUUAAGGCCGCUUAGUCGCACGUCACUGUAGCAUUGUGUUUGCUACCUGGUAACGCUGUUCUCUUAUCUCACCCCCCCCUCUUCUUUAGGUUUAGGAGGAAGUGGUGUGGUGCUCGCUUCUCCCUUCCUUCCGGCGCUCCAGGGCCUGUUGGUGCCAGAACUAGUCAAGAGCCGUUGCAAGCCAGCCAGAUUUCUCUGCCAUGUCUGGAAGAGAGGGUGGCAAGAAAAAGCCCUUGAAGCAACCGAAAAAGCAAUCAAAGGAACCGGAUGAGGAAGACCAGGCUUUCAAGCAAAAGCAGAAGGAGGAGCAAAAGAAGCUGGAAGAGCUGAAGGCCAAAGCUUCUGGGAGAGGCCCUCUUAGUGGAGGUGGUAUUAAGAAAUCUGGUAAGAAGUAGCAGGUUGGAUGGACGACGUGCCAAGUGAAGCUUUUUGUCCCCCUCAGAUGCUUGGCAGCGGGACAGAGCUCAUGUUGUAGGAGACGUUAAUUUGUGCACCUUUGUACUUUUUGUUCAAACGAAAUGAAUAGGGGGGUUGGUUAAUGACUGUUCUCUCUCCACCUUCGCCGUGUGUUAUUUCCAAGAGGCAAAUACAUGUAAGGUCAGAAUCUGUUCAGAGUCGCCAGUGCCCAGGAGUUCAGCCAUUUAGUGGUAGUAAACAUUUCCUUGGUA